This 520-nucleotide ribosomal RNA is filed under the name Liocranchia valdiviae. Its description in RNAcentral is "partial 16S ribosomal RNA". It matches the Rfam family "Bacterial large subunit ribosomal RNA", at positions 1816 to 2599 of the family's 2925-position model. The record is from RNAcentral. Lineage: Eukaryota; Metazoa; Mollusca; Cephalopoda; Oegopsida; Cranchiidae.
CUCUCUUUGUUGGUUAUCACAUAAAGAGUUGGGCCUGCUCGGUGAACAAAAGUUUUAACAGCUGCGGUAUUUUAACUGUACUAAGGUAGCAUAAUAAUUUGCCUUAUAAUUUGAGGCUGGAAUGAAUGGUUUGACGAAGGUUUAUCUGUCUCUAUCUUAUUUUUUAGAAUUUAAUUUUAAAKUGAAAAAGCUUUAAUAAUUUAAAGGGACGAGAAGACCCUAUUGAGCUUAUAAUUUUAUUGAAGUAUAUUAGUUUAUUUAUAUAGUUUGGUAUAAAUUUUAAUUGGGGUGAUUAAGGAAUAAAAAGGUAAAUAUUUACUAACUUCCUUAUAUAUAAAUAUUGUUAAAUUAAGUAUCCAAUAUUAAGUAUUGCUUAUAUUAGAUUACCAUAGGGAUAACAGCGUAAUUUGUUUAGAGAGUUCUUAUUAAAAAAUGAGAUUGCGACCUCGAUGUUGGAUUAAAGUAACCAUAAGGUGUAGAAGCUUUGUUAGGUAAAUCUGUUCGAUUUUUAAAAMUUUAC